RNAcentral lists this ribosomal RNA (460 nucleotides) under uncultured Candidatus Poseidoniales archaeon. RNAcentral's name for it is "bacterial SSU rRNA". It matches the Rfam family "Archaeal small subunit ribosomal RNA", at positions 463 to 923 of the family's 1478-position model. The record is from RNAcentral. Lineage: Archaea; Methanobacteriati; Thermoplasmatota; Candidatus Poseidoniia; Candidatus Poseidoniales.
CGCCGCGGUAAUACCGGCGCCUCAAGUGGUAGUCGAUUUUAUUGGGCCUAAAACGUCCGUAGCCUGUUUGGUACAUUCGUGGGUAAAUCAACCAGCUUAACUGGUUGAAUUCUGCGAGCACGGCCAGACUUGGGACCGGGAGAGGUGUGGGGUACGCUCAGGGUAGGGGUAAAAUCCUGUCAUCCUGAGCGGACCACCUGUUGCGAAGGCGCCACACUAGAACGGAUCCGACGGUCAGGGACGAAGCCUAGGGGCACGAACCGGAUUAGAUACCCGGGUAGUCCUAGGUGUAAACGCUGUGGACUUGGUGUUGGGGAUUCUCCGAGGAUUCUCAGUGCCGAAGCGAAGGUGAUAAGUCCACUGCCUGGGGAGUACGGUCGCAAGGCUGAAACUUAAAGGAAUUGGCGGGGGAGCACCGCAACCUGAGGAUUGUGCGGUUUAAUUGGAUUCAACGCCGGGA